UAAUCGCGAAUCAGAAUGUCGCGGUGAAUACGUUCCCGGGCCUUGUACACACCGCCCGUCACACCAUGGGAGUGGGUUGCACCAGAAGUAGAUAGCUUAACCUUCGGGAGGGCGUUUACCACGGUGUGAUUCAUGACUGGGGUGAAGUCGUAACAAGGUAACCCUAGGGGAACCUGGGGUUGGAUCACCUCCUUACCUUAA
RNAcentral lists this ribosomal RNA (201 nucleotides) under Aeromonas salmonicida. Its description in RNAcentral is "partial 16S ribosomal RNA". It matches the Rfam family "Bacterial small subunit ribosomal RNA", at positions 1339 to 1533 of the family's 1533-position model. The record is from RNAcentral. Lineage: Bacteria; Pseudomonadati; Pseudomonadota; Gammaproteobacteria; Aeromonadales; Aeromonadaceae.